AACGAACGCUGGCGGCGCGCCUAAUACAUGCAAGUCGAGCGAGAAGACGUAGCAAUACGUUUGUAAAGCGGCGAACGGGUGAGGAAUACAUGGGUAACCUACCCUCGAGUGGGGAAUAACUAGCCGAAAGGUUAGCUAAUACCGCGUACGCUCCUUGGACUUCGGUUCAGGGAGGAAAGCGAUACCGUGGGUAUCGCGCUCUUGGAUGGGCUCAUGUCCUAUCAGCUUGNGGUGAGGUAACGGCUCACCAAGGCUUCGACGGGUAGCUGGUCUGAGAGGACGAUCAGCCACACUGGCACUGCGACACGGGCCAGACUCCUACGGGAGGCAGCAGUAAGGAAUAUUGCGCAAUGGGCGAAAGCCUGACGCAGCGACGCCGC
This 380-nucleotide ribosomal RNA is filed under the name uncultured bacterium. Its description in RNAcentral is "bacterial SSU rRNA". It matches the Rfam family "Bacterial small subunit ribosomal RNA", at positions 29 to 400 of the family's 1533-position model. The record is from RNAcentral.